CCCUUGGUAGUCUAGUUGGUUAUGGCGUUCGGCUGUAAUUGUGAUGAUUGUUACCGAAAAGUCACCGGUUCGAUUCCGGUCCGAGGGA
This 88-nucleotide transfer RNA is filed under the name Daldinia bambusicola. RNAcentral describes it as "tRNA-Tyr". It matches the Rfam family "tRNA". Rfam says of the family: Transfer RNA (tRNA) molecules are approximately 80 nucleotides in length. Their secondary structure includes four short double-helical elements and three loops (D, anti-codon, and T loops). Further hydrogen bonds mediate the characteristic L-shaped molecular structure. tRNAs have two regions of fundamental functional importance: the anti-codon, which is responsible for specific mRNA codon recognition, and the 3' end, to which the tRNAs corresponding amino acid is attached (by aminoacyl-tRNA synthetases). tRNAs cope with the degeneracy of the genetic code in two manners: having more than one tRNA (with a specific anti-codon) for a particular amino acid; and 'wobble' base-pairing, i.e. permitting non-standard base-pairing at the 3rd anti-codon position. The record is from RNAcentral. Lineage: Eukaryota; Fungi; Ascomycota; Sordariomycetes; Xylariales; Hypoxylaceae.